AAUGAACGCUGGCGGCGUGCUUAACACAUGCAAGUCGCACGAGAACGCUUCAGCUUGCUGAAGCUAGUAAAGUGGCGCACGGGUGAGUAUCGCGUGGGUAAUCUACCCUUCGGUCGGGAAUAACGUUGCGAAAGCGGCGCUAAUACCCGAUAAAAUACUUACGGCCUUGGCCGUUGGAUUCAAAGGUGGCCUCUUCAUGAAAGCUACCGCAGAAGGAUGAGCCCGCGUCCCAUUAGCUUGUUGGCGGGGUAACGGCCCACCAAGGCGACGAUGGGUAGCUGGUCUGAGAGGAUGAUCAGCCACACUGGAACUGACACACGGUCCAGACUCCUACGGGUGGCAG
Molecule: ribosomal RNA, 343 nt
Filed under: uncultured Pseudomonadota bacterium
Lineage: Bacteria; Pseudomonadati; Pseudomonadota
Description: bacterial SSU rRNA
Rfam family: Bacterial small subunit ribosomal RNA
Source: RNAcentral